This 465-nucleotide ribosomal RNA is filed under the name Vreelandella stevensii. RNAcentral's name for it is "partial 16S ribosomal RNA". It matches the Rfam family "Bacterial small subunit ribosomal RNA", at positions 338 to 795 of the family's 1533-position model. The record is from RNAcentral. Lineage: Bacteria; Pseudomonadati; Pseudomonadota; Gammaproteobacteria; Oceanospirillales; Halomonadaceae.
CCUACGGGAGGCAGCAGUGGGGAAUAUUGGACAAUGGGGGCAACCCUGAUCCAGCCAUGCCGCGUGUGUGAAGAAGGCCCUCGGGUUGUAAAGCACUUUCAGUGAGGAAGAACGCCUGGUGGUUAAUACCCAUCAGGAAAGACAUCACUCACAGAAGAAGCACCGGCUAACUCCGUGCCAGCAGCCGCGGUAAUACGGAGGGUGCGAGCGUUAAUCGGAAUUACUGGGCGUAAAGCGCGCGUAGGUGGCUUGAUAAGCCGGGUGUGAAAGCCCCGGGCUCAACCUGGGAACGGCAUCCGGAACUGUCAAGCUAGAGUGCAGGAGAGGAAGGUAGAAUUCCCGGUGUAGCGGUGAAAUGCGUAGAGAUCGGGAGGAAUACCAGUGGCGAAGGCGGCCUUCUGGACUGACACUGACACUGAGGUGCGAAAGCGUGGGUAGCAAACAGGAUUAGAUACCCGAGUAGUC